Molecule: long non-coding RNA, 217 nt
Filed under: Carica papaya (papaya)
Lineage: Eukaryota; Viridiplantae; Streptophyta; Magnoliopsida; Brassicales; Caricaceae
Description: long non-coding RNA (CPAP_LNC005443)
Source: RNAcentral
AGUGAUCCAGUGCAUUCGAGCUCAUGUAAGCUUCGAGAUAAAACAUGUAUUUAAACCCGUAUUCUUACCCAAGAAACUCUAAUUUUUUCUCCUCUCUAGUACCGCUGGCGGACAUUGAAAGCUUUUAAUUUGCUUUUUUUUUCUUGCAUUUUGUUUCUGGUUGUUUUGCAAGUGAAUACAUACACACAUCUCACACCCAUUCCCACGAAAAACUUCU